Myxocyprinus asiaticus (Chinese sucker) is the source of this 1017-nucleotide long non-coding RNA. RefSeq lists it as uncharacterized. Lineage: Eukaryota; Metazoa; Chordata; Actinopteri; Cypriniformes; Catostomidae. The record is from RefSeq and is a predicted model, not a curated record. The transcript has 3 exons.
AGCCCAGUAGAUGGCGAUAUGCACAAAGAAUGCAAAUUGGAAAAAAAUAGAAAGAACUCAAAGUGCAGAGAAGAGCUAUUUGAAAUUAGAUUUAUAAGAGAGAGAGAAAUAAAAGGACUAUUAAAGAACUUAUAUUGAUCUGUUUCACACCCACACCUAUCAUAUCGCUUCUGAAGACAUGGAUUAAACCACUGGAGUCGUAUAGAUUAUUUUAUGCUGUCUAUAUGCGCUUUUUGGAGCUUCAAAUUUGAGGUCACCAUUCACUUGCAUUGUAUGACCAACAGAGCUGAAGUAUUCUUCAAAUAAUCUUUGUUUGUGCUCUGCAGAAGAAAGAACAUCAUAAACAACUGGGAUGUCAUGAGGAUAUCCGAUUGUCCUGAUCUCCAUCCAAAAGGUCCUCGAGCGCCUCAGCCUGAGUACAACCGGAAAGAAAGCUUUAAUUGCGGAGAAAGAAAGAAAGAAAGAAAUAUACGGAGGAAAAAUUGCCCAGCUAUGUUUUCUAUGGACAUCAAGUAGAAAUUUCUCAGCUUCCACAAUAAAAAAAAUAAAAAUAAAAAUAAAAAAAAUACACGUUAUUACUUAAAAUGUGUAAGUACAUGUCAUUUAGAUAAUUUAACGGUGUGAUUUUACCAUAUAAUUCAAUUUUAAAUGAGUUCUGGUGAAACAUUUACAUCAACAGAUGAAACCACUUGUCUGGUAUUGAGUUAUAGCCUACUAUCUUAACACGAGCCGAAGUGUGCAAUCUUAACACUUUACAGUACACUAUAGGUGACUCUCUUUUAGCCUCUUACCAGGUCUCUUUUGAUGAACUGCUCCUCUUGUGCGGACAGUCUGUUGUCCAGUGACAUCUGACCCCGGCAGAGGCUCAACAACGACAGGCAAACGCUCAGCGAUUCCAGCGUUGAAAGUUGUUUUGUCAGUGCUUGUGCUCUGGCUACUGGUUGCAAUUGCUUCAAUGGAUUCCUGGAAAACUUUCUCUACUUAUACGAUGUGAGGUCCUGCUGCCUGAUGUGAGGU